ACAGAAAUAAAUCUCACCCUUUCAUAUAGCCAAACAGAGAUAACCCAUGGCAUACAUAUUUUCAAGGGAAACAAUGACUAUUCCUUAAGUUACCGACAGCAUCAUUUGUCACACAUAGUUCAUCCUAAAUUUACCUGGUAGUUGGGGUGACUAUCUGUGUUAGAUAAUUGGCUUUAUCCGAAGGAAAAAAAUAGUGUUACAAAGAAAUGGAUUAAAUUAGGGGAACUGUGUGAGAGUCUCUCACAUUUUAUCUUUCAACAUUAGAUUAAUCACAAGCACAAAAAUACUAUCUUAUUGAGCUAAAAAAAUUCUUUGAUCAGAGUUCUCUUAAUGAUGACUCCAGUUCACUUUUUAUGUGUAAAUCA
RNAcentral lists this long non-coding RNA (365 nucleotides) under Pan troglodytes (chimpanzee). RNAcentral describes it as "long non-coding RNA NONPTRT001512". Lineage: Eukaryota; Metazoa; Chordata; Mammalia; Primates; Hominidae. The record is from RNAcentral.